Molecule: ribosomal RNA, 426 nt
Filed under: uncultured Propionicimonas sp.
Lineage: Bacteria; Bacillati; Actinomycetota; Actinomycetes; Propionibacteriales; Nocardioidaceae
Description: bacterial SSU rRNA
Rfam family: Bacterial small subunit ribosomal RNA
Source: RNAcentral
GGGGAAUUUUGGACAAUGGGCGCAAGCCUGAUCCAGCAAUGCCGCGUGCAGGAUGAAGGCCUUCGGGUUGUAAACUGCUUUUGUACGGAACGAAAAGCCUCUCUCUAAUACAGGGGGGUGAUGACGGUACCGUAAGAAUAAGCACCGGCUAACUACGUGCCAGCAGCCGCGGUGAUACGUAGGGUGCGAGCGUUGUCCGGAAUUAUUGGGCGUAAAGAGCUUGUAGGCGGUCCGUCACGUCGGAAGUGAAAACUCAGGGCUUAACCCUGAGCCUGCUUUCGAUACGGGCAGACUUGAGGGAUGUAGGGGAGAACGGAAUUCCUGGUGGAGCGGUGGAAUGCGCAGAUAUCAGGAGGAACACCAGUGGCGAAGGCGGUUCUCUGGACAUUUCCUGACGCUGAGAAGCGAAAGCGUGGGGAGCAAACA